Molecule: ribosomal RNA, 1354 nt
Filed under: Buchnera aphidicola (Eulachnus alticola)
Lineage: Bacteria; Pseudomonadati; Pseudomonadota; Gammaproteobacteria; Enterobacterales; Erwiniaceae
Description: bacterial SSU rRNA
Rfam family: Bacterial small subunit ribosomal RNA
Source: RNAcentral
UUUGACGGCGAGCGGCAAACGGGUGAGUAAUAUCUGGGGAUCUACCUAUACGAGGGGGAUAACUGUUGGAAACGACAGCUAAUACCGCAUAAUGUUUAUAUUAAAACCAAAGUGGGGGACCUUUUUUGGCCUCGCGCGUAUAGAUGAACCCAGACGAGAUUAGCUAGAUGGUAAGGUAAAGGCUUACCAUGGCCACGAUCUCUAGCUGGUCUGAGAGGAUGACCAGCCACACUGGAACUGAGACACGGUCCAGACUCCUACGGGAGGCAGCAGUGGGGAAUAUUGCACAAUGGGCGAAAGCCUGAUGCAGCUAUGCCGCGUGUAUGAAGAAGGCCUUAGGGUUGUAAAGUACUUUCAGUAGGGGAAGAAGUAUAAAUUGUUAAUACCAUUUUAUAUUGACGUUACUUACAAAAGAAGCACCGGCUAACUCCGUGCCAGCAGCCGCGGUAAUACGGAGGGUGCUAGCGUUAAUCAGAAUUACUGGGCGUAAAGAGCGCGUAGGUGGUUUUUUAAGUCAGAUGUGAAAUCCCUGGGCUUAACCUAGGAACUGCAUUUGAAACUAAAUAACUAGAGUUUCGUAGAGGGAGGUAGAAUUCUAGGUGUAGCGGUGAAAUGCGUAGAUAUCUGGAGGAAUACCAGUGGCGAAAGCGGCCUCCUAGACGAAAACUGACACUGAGGCGCGAAAGCGUGGGGAGCAAACAGGAUUAGGUACCCUGGUAGUCCAUGCCGUAAACGAUGUCAACUCGGAGGUUGCUUCCUUAGAGGAGUGGCUUCCAAAGCUAACGCGUUAAGUUGACCGCCUGGGGAGUACGGUCGCAAGGCUAAAACUCAAAUGAAUUGACGGGGGCCCGCACAAGCGGUGGAGCAUGUGGUUUAAUUCGAUGCAACGCGAAAAACCUUACCUGGUCUUGACAUCCAUAGAAUCUAGUAGAAAUAUUGGAGUGCCUUCGGGAACUAUGAGACAGGUGCUGCAUGGCUGUCGUCAGCUCGUGUUGUGAAAUGUUGGGUUAAGUCCCGCAACGAGCGCAACCCUUAUCCUUUGUUGCCAUCAGGUUAAGCUGGGAACUCAAGGGAGACUGCCGGUUAUAAACCGGAGGAAGGUGGGGACGACGUCAAGUCAUCAUGGCCCUUACGACCAGGGCUACACACGUGCUACAAUGGUGUAUACAAAGAGAUGCAGCUCUGUAAAGAUAAGCAAACCUCAUAAAGUGUAUCGUAGUCCGGACUGGAGUCUGCAACUCGACUCCACGAAGUCGGAAUCGCUAGUAAUCGUGGAUCAGAAUGCCACGGUGAAUACGUUCCCGGGCCUUGUACACACCGCCCGUCACACCAUGGGAGUGGGUUGCAAAAGAAG